Molecule: transfer RNA, 73 nt
Filed under: Rubrobacter sp.
Lineage: Bacteria; Bacillati; Actinomycetota; Rubrobacteria; Rubrobacterales; Rubrobacteraceae
Description: tRNA-Glu
Rfam family: tRNA
About the family: Transfer RNA (tRNA) molecules are approximately 80 nucleotides in length. Their secondary structure includes four short double-helical elements and three loops (D, anti-codon, and T loops). Further hydrogen bonds mediate the characteristic L-shaped molecular structure. tRNAs have two regions of fundamental functional importance: the anti-codon, which is responsible for specific mRNA codon recognition, and the 3' end, to which the tRNAs corresponding amino acid is attached (by aminoacyl-tRNA synthetases). tRNAs cope with the degeneracy of the genetic code in two manners: having more than one tRNA (with a specific anti-codon) for a particular amino acid; and 'wobble' base-pairing, i.e. permitting non-standard base-pairing at the 3rd anti-codon position.
Source: RNAcentral
GCCCCCAUCGUCUAGAGGCCGAGGACACCGCCCUUUCAAGGCGGCGGCACGGGUUCGAAUCCCGUUGGGGGCA